Molecule: ribosomal RNA, 709 nt
Filed under: Linnemannia gamsii
Lineage: Eukaryota; Fungi; Mortierellomycota; Mortierellomycetes; Mortierellales; Mortierellaceae
Description: eukaryotic LSU rRNA
Rfam family: Eukaryotic large subunit ribosomal RNA
Source: RNAcentral
AGUGAAGCGGGAUGAGCUCAAAUUUAAAAUCUGGCUGGUUUACUAGUCCGAAUUGUAGUUUAUAGAAGCGUUUUCGGUGGCAGCCUGGGUAUAAAUCCUUUGGAAUAGGGUAUCAUAGAGGGUGAGAAUCCCGUCUUUGACUCAGUGCAUGCUACUAUGUGAUACGUUUUCAAAGAGUCGAGUUGUUUGGGAAUGCAGCUCAAAAUGGGUGGUAAAUUUCAUCUAAGGCUAAAUAUUGGCGAGAGACCGAUAGCGAACAAGUACCGUGAGGGAAAGAUGAAAAGAACUUUGAAAAGAGAGUUAAACAGUGCGUGAAAUUGUUGAAAGGGAAACGUUUGACACCAGUUAUGCGGGUGGAAAAUCAGUCUUUUGCAAUGGGGAGUUGUGGGCGUUCAGACCGCAAGGCUGGCGUUUGCUUCAUCUUUGUUGUAAGUGAUGCACUUUUUCAUUUGCAGGUCAACAUCAGUUUGCUUUGCUGGACAAAACCCCAAGGGAAGGUGGCAGCUUAGGCUGUGUUAUAGCCCUGGGGCGAUACAGUGGAGUGGACUGAGGUUUCGCAGUGUGUGCUCUCGGGCAAGGCUGACUGGGUGCUAUGGGAUCGUUCGGCGUACAAUGCAUGCAUUUUGCGUCGUGUCUUUUUCAUACUCGCUCAACUCGGCUCUUCCACGCUUAGGAUGUUGACUUAAUGGUUUUAAACGACCCGUCUUGA